This 457-nucleotide ribosomal RNA is filed under the name uncultured Streptococcus sp. RNAcentral describes it as "bacterial SSU rRNA". It matches the Rfam family "Bacterial small subunit ribosomal RNA", at positions 921 to 1382 of the family's 1533-position model. Lineage: Bacteria; Bacillati; Bacillota; Bacilli; Lactobacillales; Streptococcaceae. The record is from RNAcentral.
CCGCACAAGCGGUGGAGCAUGUGGUUAAUUCGAAGCAACGCGAAGACCUUACCAGGUCUUGACAUCCCGAUGCUAUUUCUAGAGAUAGAAAGUUACUUCGGUACAUCGGUGACAGGUGGUGCAUGGUUGUCGUCAGCUCGUGUCGUGAGAUGUUGGGUUAAGUCCCGCAACGAGCGCAACCCCUAUUGUUAGUUGCCAUCAUUCAGUUGGGCACUCUAGCGAGACUGCCGGUAAUAAACCGGAGGAAGUGGGGAUGACGUCAAAUCAUCAUGCCCCUUAUGACCUGGGCUACACACGUGCUACAAUGGUUGGUACAACGAGUUGCGAGUCGGUGACGGCGAGCUAAUCUCUUAAAGCCAAUCUCAGUUCGGAUUGUAGGCUGCAACUCGCCUACAUGAAGUCGGAAUCGCUAGUAAUCGCGGAUCAGCACGCCGCGGUGAAUACGUUCCCGGGCCUU